GGACGGAUGACUAUGCCCGUGCCCAUGGGUACUAAAGUAGCCACCUGCUUUCGGUUUGAUAUGACGAUUGUACAUUUCCAUAUGUACGAUCUUCAUGAAUUCGAUCUGUGCUGCUAAUUUCUGAAUUUCUUCCUGCAAUAUACAUAUAUGAUAAUUGGAUGGAUAUUUAUGUAAAUUAAAAUUUUGAUAAACAUAAUUUAAAAUGAGACGAUGAUACCUUCAAUUCUUCGUUUUCUUGAUGCAAAUCUGUCGCUUCCUCGGAUACUAAACCGAUUCCAUUUAAAGAGAAACUUGCUGUGACACCUCGGGCUCUAGCACGACUAUCCCAUUGAUCUCCUUGACCACGUAAAACUCGAAUCACCUGAAAUGUAAUUAAUGAUCCUUUAAAAAGAAUAUAUUCUUCAAAGUGUUUCACGAAUAUCUUGUAUGGGAAAGAAAGUGAAAUAAUUAAUGAAUUACCUUCGGCGCAAAUACAAGAAACACAGUGACAGAAGUAGACAAUUGUUACCGAUAGCUAAACUAUGGUCCCACCAAUUGAAGGAGCAUUGAUUGAACUUUAGACCAUAAUUAUCGGCUAUCUCUUCAGCAUAUGGUGGUGCGCUGAGCGUCCACGUGCCCAGAUAAAUUAACAUUACUAAUAAUAUCGGGACCAUCCAUUGCAGCAAUUGUUUGUCUGUGAGCUUUACUUUGUGCGCGCUUUUUACACGGUUUUCAUCAACAAUGCGGUAUAAGAAAUACAAAAACCAAGAUGUCUUGUCCAUUUGGUCGCGAUACAAGAAUACAUGUCCAAAACCGGAAAUAUCGCGGCCAUCUAAAUACAUGAUGGCGCAACCCAAAAGCGUGAUAGACAAAAAUAUCGGCGAAGCAACCUUGAACACUUUGAGUUUACGGUGUUGAUACAUGUAGACGACUAAGAUGAUAGUACCAAACACACAGAAAAUAGAGAACGAUAAAAGAGCGAUUCUGCAAAAAUACUUCAGAUUACUUCUCUUCGGUUUAAAAAAUAAAGAACUUUGGGACGAAUUCGUACCGGAAGGGCCAGUUGUAGGUGGCUAGACAAGGUUCCGGUCCCUUACAUUUAAUGCAUCCCGGGGCACAACCUAAAGUUAUACUAAUAAUGCAUUCACUCGAGGCAAAGAGUUGAACUAUCCUUACUAACUUUCGACGAGGAUUCCAUUGAAAGCGGAUUGAUGUUGGUUCUUGUCGUAAUAACCUUUUCGACAUUUACAUAUAUAUGCACCCUUUGCCCAACCAGCACCUACGCCAUUUUGAUUUAUACGAUUGCUCGGACUUUGAUAUUCACACUAAAAGUCAUAUACAUGGAAACAUCAGUGUUUAAAAGAAUUACCUGAGUGGUAUCUGUAUGACAUUUGUGCGUGCCUUUAAAAGAUGCUAUUUGAUUACUUAGAAUUUCAUUCUCAUUGCUAUGCGGCGAUGGAUCACAUUGAUUUACUUCUAGCCCGCUAAUAUCGAUAUCUACGCUUAAAAAUUCACGAACCCUUGAACAAAAUAUAAUUUCAUCAACAUUUGUUGAAAUAGUUUGAUCGCUUUAUUCAAGAACAAACAAAAUUAAAAAUCGAUCCAAAGAAUUGUAGAUUCGAAACAGAUUCAAUUAAUCACUUAUCAAAUGAAAGUUUUGACACAUUCGAUGCAGUAUUGUCAUCAAGUAUGCUCAGCCAUCUCGUUUCAUUUUACAAUUGUUUUCCACAUUAACCAUGAGAAAUACGGGAUGGUCCACCAACCCCUGUAGGAUUCAAUCGCCGGUGACUGCAUGAAUUUCGGUGACCUGGGAUAACACGCAAACGCCACAAACCGCCAUAGAAACUUCGAUUUUUUCACGCAUACAUGUUUCGUGCAACGACCCCAUUAUUAUCGUACUUGCUUUUUUCUUUUCGUCUCUUUCUUUUUAAAUCCUGGCACUUCACGGUCAUCCGGUAUAUACGAACAUUAAAUUUGAAUUAAAUAGAUAUUGUCUGAAUAUGUAUUUAGAAGUUUUUAAUUAGAAUUCACUGUGUAAUAUAUUAAUUGAUAUUACACUUUAACAUUUUUCUUUUAAUAUUUUUCUUUUUG
Molecule: long non-coding RNA, 2070 nt
Organism: Apis laboriosa (Himalayan honeybee)
Lineage: Eukaryota; Metazoa; Arthropoda; Insecta; Hymenoptera; Apidae
Exons: 10
Source: RefSeq, a predicted model, not a curated record